CACACUUAACUUGAUCAUCUAACUAGACUCUAUGCUUCACUCACCUCUCUAGACUAUGUCCAAAUAGUCUCACAAUACCUCGAUAUGAGGUCACACAACGUCUAUCCUAUAUAAAACUUAAAACUAUAAUCUAUAUUCAAAUUCCAAUAACUUGUAACCUGUUGCUCUGAUACCAACUGUGACAGUCCGAGAAUCCGGGGGUCUGGAUUCUGACGUCACCACAUAAAACCCAUUUUUAAACACCUUUGAAAACCUGUAUUUUUUUUCUAAAGAUAAUGAAAUCAAAGAAUUUAAAACCUGAAAACAUUUAAUAUAAGAUUUGAAUGAGAACAUAAAUCGAAUGAUUUCAAAACCUGAAUUUCAAACUUGAAAACCAUAAUAAAAGAAUUUCAAGAGAACAUUUAAACUUUAAUAAAUGAUUCGAAGGAGAACAUUUAAACCCCCUAAAAGCAACAGGAUCGCAUCCAGGUUACAGUAUUGAAAUUAGAAUCUACCGCUAUUAUUACACAACAUCUCUUACCAAAUCAGAUCAUCUUCGAUAAGAAGAAUCACUGUCAACUAUUUCAGCUUGCACCAACCUUAUCAACUUUCCUGAACACUUCUCGACCACUGGAUCCUCAACUCUGUCUCCUCGCCUAGCAUUAGCCUUACUCACAAUCUCAAUCAAUCAUCUCAUCUUUAAGCCUUUCUGAAAUGGUUAAAAGAGAAUAGCAAGAGUGAGCAACAAUGCUCAGCAAGUAAUAAUAAACAAUGAUAAUUCUGAAAUGAUAUAACAGAAAUUCACGAGUUCAAGAUAUAAAAGGAUUCAACCUGAGUUCAUGAGUUCAUGGUAUUGUAUAGAAUGAUUUACAAUACCUUGCAGCAUUUAAACUGAGAAAUUCAAUCUUUCCAAAGAAUUAUUGAAUUGGACUAUCACAUUUUAAUUAAAACCAAGGUUAGGCAGCUGAUCAGUUCCGCACUAACCCCGAGCAGGCCCCGCCAUGCUCUAUCACUGGAUCCAAGGCACUCAUUGGCCUAACAUGACCACGAAUCUGGUCCACAGGUUUAUAUAAAAACAAUAAUCCAAUUCUCUAAUUCAAUUCAAGAAGCCAAUGUAAAUUAACAGAACAUCAUCAUAAAUAUCAUCAACAACAGAAUAAUUCCAAUUCAAACUUUGAUAAUAAUCUAUUCAUAAAUCAUGAUCCAUCAUUUCAUAAAUCACAGUUCAGGAAAUCCUCAACUAUUCAGUAUCCUCCAUUAUCGGCUAAGCAACUGAAUUUAGCCUGCUAAACCAGCAUGACAAUGGCGGGUUGAAUAAUCAAGAAGAUCCCAAUUCAUUCAAAGCUCUAACUAUCACUGAGCAACACAUGCUUCAAUGACAAUCUGAACUUCGAAUUAAUUUGUAAAACGGAAAUUCUUUAGAAACUUGAAGAUUAGAAAGAAUGGGUCAGAAUACUCGCACUUUCGAACAUUGAAAAGAAAGGUAUGAAUACUUGAAACAUAUACCAAAGGAAUGGAUCAGAAUAUUUGCAAUAUAUCCAAGAGAAAGGUUUAGGAUACUUGCAACACAUAUAGAAAAGAAUGGAUCAGAAUAUGCAAUAUAUCCAAAAGAAGGGUGUAGGAUACUUGCCUUAAAUCUGACUCCAGUCUCACAUCUCAAUCUCAUCUUUCCACUUUCACAAUCUAUGCAUCUCGUAAUCUCUAGACCAUCUCUAGCUAUACUCUAUUCGCCACUUCGCUUCGCUUACUCAAUCAUCCCUUAUUCGCUUUGCAAUACCAUUCCGACUUUCUGACGUCUUCGAGCGUACACGUCUCGUCCAAAUCCUUUACGAGAAUAAGAUAAUGCUAUAGUCACUAAGCAAUAUAUCGCAUAUACAUAUCACGUAUAUCGAUACCCACUUAUAUACCCCUUUAAACCUAUCACAUACCACGUAACACAUAAGCAUGCUUUGACUCUUACAUAUAGUCAAUCAUAUUCCACAUAACAUAUCACCAAUCAAUUAUCAUAUGAAUCCUAUCGAAAAUCCGACAUCGUCUCGUCUAUUUAUUAGACUAUCCACCUGUUAUCCUAUCUCAAUCAACAAUCAACCAACAAGAUCCAAUCACUAUAAUCCAUAUAUUCUUAUCCAAUAUCAAUCAACUCACGACACUAUGUCAUCCAAAUCAUUUAUCACACGCAUAUACUAUCAUGAAUAAACAUGUAUAUCACGUAGUCAUUAGUUAAUAGCAACCAAAUAACAUAUAAUCACAUUUUGCACAUUUAACAAAAAUUAUUCAGAUUCUCGACUCCAUCAUAAUAUUAUGUCAUAUCAAACUAGACUUUAUAAGCUUCUGUCUCUCUUUCGUUUCACUUGAUUCCGACUUACGGAUCAAAAGUUAUGAUCAAAACCGUUUUCUAACUCCUCUAUCGGCACAUAACACAUCAAACAGAUAGCAGACAACACAUUACACAUAAGGUUUCCCACCCCAAUUGAUAUCAAAUCAACUCUUGGGUUAAAAAUGAUUUUUCGGGAAUUUUCUGGAAUUUUUAAACAUUUUUCGGAAUUAAAAUCGAUAAAAGAAUCACUUUUCGGAUAAAUAAUCAAGUCCCAAAUACUUGAAAUUGGACUUGAAAUCAUUCAUAAACAAUUAUCGAGCCUUGAAAAUAAUUUGGAAAAAUAUUUUAAAGCUCGAAACUAUUUUUCGGAAUUUUUAAAUCAAAAAGGAUUAAUUAAAUCCAAUUAAUUAACCAAUUAAAAUCAAUUAAUAAUUAAUUAAAAUAAUUAAUCAAUUAAUAUUUAAAUUAAUUGACCAAUUAAAAUAAUUAAUUACUAAUUAAAAUUAAUUAAUAAACUAAUUUAGAUUUUUUUUUUUGAAUAAAUAAAUAAUUAAAAACUAUUUUUGGAAUUUAAAAUAAUUAAAUAAAACAAUUUUAGAAAAUUAAAUCAAAAGGUUUAUUUUGUAAACUUUUGAAAGUUUUGUCCAGGGUUUAAAGUGCAAUUUUUCAAAGUUACAGGGGGUAAUUCACAAGUUUCAAAACCUGAGUACAAAAACUUCAUCAUCUUCAAAACUUCGGUGACCAAACAGCAAUAAGCCGCCGGCCACCACACUAACUCGCCGGAAAUUCGUUUCCAGGCGUCCUCCACUCACCAUCUACUCCAGAUCAGUAGUACACACACCCAUAAAUCAAUCCCCCAUCUUUAAUUAGGCAGAAGUCGCGCGAAUUCGCCGGAAAAUCCGGCCGAAGUCGGCGACUUCCCGCCGCCGAUGGCGGCGAUUCGAGCCACCUCCGCUCAAACCAAGCACACCAGCAUACUCCCCUUUCUCUCCUCCUUCUAUUCAUAUAUUCCACUACUUCCCAGACUUAACGGAUCAAAAUUCCGGCGAAGAGCUUGAGUUUUCCGACGAGGAACCUCAAGAACACCAAGAACACUCAACUCAAGAAUUAAACCACUGUUUCUAUAUGAUUCCGAACCCCAAAUUCAACAUAUAAUAUACCAAAACGACGAGAAAAACACGUACUACAACAUGGUAUCAUCAAAAUAAUCAAACAAUCACGUUUGCAAAAAUUCAUAUUUCAAAUCAAUAUAACUCGAAUUUUCAACAAUUAAUAGUAAUUUACCUGUUGAAUCUGCACACAAACGAAUGAUUAAACUAUAAUCUACACGUCGAUAGCUUCGUUUUGACUAUUCAUACGCCUCCAUCGGAUUCCAAUAACACCUUCAAAUCUUCGUUUGAUUAUGAAGAACACGAAGAACACCGCUCGGUUUCUCUCGGUAUUCGUGCAAAGAAACUGGUGAAAUGAUUUUACGGGUGAAAAUAAGCUCUAGAAAGGUCUAUUUAUAUUUACAAAUAAUUGGUACCCCUUUGGAUCGU
RNAcentral lists this long non-coding RNA (3834 nucleotides) under Daucus carota (carrot). RNAcentral's name for it is "long non-coding RNA (DCAR_LNC003554)". The record is from RNAcentral. Lineage: Eukaryota; Viridiplantae; Streptophyta; Magnoliopsida; Apiales; Apiaceae.